UAAUACGUAGGGGGCAAGCGUUGUCCGGAAUCAUUGGGCGUAAAGAGCGUGUAGGCGGUCCGAUUAGUCGGCUGUGAAAGUCCAGGGCUCAACCCUGGGAUGCCGGUCGAUACUGUCGGACUAGAGUCCGGAAGAGGCAAGUGGAAUUCCCGGUGUAGCGGUGAAAUGCGCAGAUAUCGGGAGGAACACCAAUGGCGAAGGCAGCUUGCUGGGACGGUACUGACGCUGAGACGCGAAAGCGUGGGGAGCAAACAGGAUUAGAUACCCUGGUAGUCCACGCCGUAAACGAUGGGCACUAGGCGUCGGGGGGAGCGACCCUCCCGGUGCCGUCGCUAACGCAGUAAGUGCCCCGCCUGGGGAGUACGGCCGCAAGGCUG
RNAcentral lists this ribosomal RNA (377 nucleotides) under uncultured bacterium. Its description in RNAcentral is "bacterial SSU rRNA". It matches the Rfam family "Bacterial small subunit ribosomal RNA", at positions 521 to 896 of the family's 1533-position model. The record is from RNAcentral.